Long non-coding RNA from Telopea speciosissima, 337 nucleotides. RefSeq lists it as uncharacterized. The transcript has 4 exons. Lineage: Eukaryota; Viridiplantae; Streptophyta; Magnoliopsida; Proteales; Proteaceae. The record is from RefSeq and is a predicted model, not a curated record.
UCUUCAGUUGCAGUUUCAGUGGUGUUCGAUCGAAGUCCAGAGACGACCCCAAGCAAGUUGCAAAACCUCGUGGAUUUGGUGAUGUGGAGAGAUGUAUCAUAAUCAGCUUUUGUAUUUGGAGUAUUCUUCCUGCUCUCUUCCUUCUCUCACCAAAGAUUUCAAUUUUAGCUUGAUUUCUGCAAUUUCCUACAUGGGUCUUGUGUAUCUUGCUGCAAUCUUUUUCUAUAAAUCAAUUCUUUGCAGGGUAGCUACAGAUAUGGAUGAUUCAAACAAGGAAUAUAUAGUGGGGGGAACAAGAAGCAAUGUGGGUACUAAAACUGUUCCUUAAUUGAAUGAG